Molecule: long non-coding RNA, 435 nt
Organism: Epinephelus fuscoguttatus (brown-marbled grouper)
Lineage: Eukaryota; Metazoa; Chordata; Actinopteri; Perciformes; Serranidae
Exons: 3
Source: RefSeq, a predicted model, not a curated record
AGGUGCCAGAGUCAGCACAGGCGCACUCCAUGAUCUGACAGAACUUCUUCCGGCCCAUGGAGUAGAUCCGACAGUUUUUCCCUGGCUUCAGCUCCUUCCCGUUCUGACUCACAGAAGCAAAGGGACAGAGGAAUUCAUUUCUCAUCGUCUUACCACACGACUUCGGCAUCAUCUGCGGAGACAUGGCAGAGCAGCACCACGGGGUCCAGCUCCAUGCUGCUCUUAUGGAGCUCCUCCUCUGGGACCGGCUUGAACUCCACAGAAGGACCUGAAACAACAGGAGGAGGGAAGAGUGGAUGUCAGCAGCUGGAACACAAGAUGGACUGCUUUGGGAAACUCCAUAUGGCCACUUCGCCCAUACUUGUUGACGCAGCAGACACGGAACCGGUAGUUGCCCUCGCACGGCACGCUGUCGCCGCCAACCUCAGCUGACGU